AGACAUGGACAUUUAUUCACUGUCUGGUCAAGGGCCACUGACCACAUUGCCUCUGCAUAUCUCAACCCCUUGCAAAAAGUAGGGUAUCUCUUUUGUAGCCCAAACCUGCAAACUACCAGUAAUUCAAAGCCAUAGCUAUAUAGUAGGUGGGUCAGAAUGACCCAGUUCAAGGUACAGUACACUUCCCAUGAGAAAUAUCAACUAAAAGAGAGCAUCUUACAACUGUAUUUCUUGAUAAUACAUUGUAUAAGAAUAAGAAAAACAUUUUUCAACCACCAUGGCUUGCCAAAAAGUGUGUGGUUGGCAGGAGGUGGUAGAGGCAGAGGUUUCUCGUGGAACAAAUCUUUCUUUUAUGAAAUGGAGUCUAAAGGUAAAAUGGAGUUUGUUUGAUCAAGGCACAUGUAGUUUGGUCCAUAAUAUUCCAAUUUUAUCUAGAAAUGAUCAAACCCUUGAUUUACCUUCUGAAUCCAGGAAGAGGUUGUAAUUGCCAAACAUAUGAUAAUUUGACUGACAAAAUAUGUUAUUUUAGCAGCUAGGG
This 538-nucleotide long non-coding RNA is filed under the name Marmota monax (woodchuck). The record is from RNAcentral. Lineage: Eukaryota; Metazoa; Chordata; Mammalia; Rodentia; Sciuridae.